CCUGGAGGCACUAGCGCGGUGGUCCCACCUGACCCCAUGCCGAACUCAGAAGUGAAACGCCGUAGCGCCGAUGGUAGUGUGGGGUCUCCCCAUGCGAGAGUAGGGAACUGCCAGGC
RNAcentral lists this ribosomal RNA (116 nucleotides) under Salmonella enterica. Lineage: Bacteria; Pseudomonadati; Pseudomonadota; Gammaproteobacteria; Enterobacterales; Enterobacteriaceae. The record is from RNAcentral. RNAcentral also lists the same sequence under 1 other name.